This 548-nucleotide ribosomal RNA is filed under the name Klebsiella sp. VI. RNAcentral's name for it is "bacterial SSU rRNA". It matches the Rfam family "Bacterial small subunit ribosomal RNA", at positions 24 to 549 of the family's 1533-position model. Lineage: Bacteria; Pseudomonadati; Pseudomonadota; Gammaproteobacteria; Enterobacterales; Enterobacteriaceae. The record is from RNAcentral.
UCANGAUGAACGCUGGCGGUAGGCCUAACACAUGCAAGUCGAACGGUAGCACAGAGAGCUUGCUCUCGGGUGACGAGCGGCGGACGGGUGAGUAAUGUCUGGGAAACUGCCUGAUGGAGGGGGAUAACUACUGGAAACGGUAGCUAAUACCGCAUAACGUCGCAAGACCAAAGUGGGGGACCUUCGGGCCUCAUGCCAUCAGAUGUGCCCAGAUGGGAUUAGCUAGUAGGUGGGGUAACGGCUCACCUAGGCGACGAUCCCUAGCUGGUCUGAGAGGAUGACCAGCCACACUGGAACUGAGACACGGUCCAGACUCCUACGGGAGGCAGCAGUGGGGAAUAUUGCACAAUGGGCGCAAGCCCUGAUGCAGCCAUGCCGCGUGUGUGAAGAAGGCCUUUCGGUUGUAAAGCACUUUUCAGCGGGGAGGAAGGCGGUUAAAGGUUUAAUAACCUUCUUCGAUUGGACGUUUACCCGCAGAAGAAGCACCGGCUAACUUCCGUGCCCAGCAGCCGCCGGUAUUCCGGAGGGUGCCAAACCGUUUAUUCGGA